UACGGAGGGAGCUAGCGUUGUUCGGAAUUACUGGGCGUAAAGCGUACGUAGGCGGCUAUUCAAGUCAGAGGUGAAAGCCCGGGGCUCAACCCCGGAACUGCCUUUGAAACUAGGUAGCUAGAAUCUUGGAGAGGUCAGUGGAAUUCCGAGUGUAGAGGUGAAAUUCGUAGAUAUUCGGAAGAACACCAGUGGCGAAGGCGACUGACUGGACAAGUAUUGACGCUGAGGUACGAAAGCGUGGGGAGCAAACAGG
RNAcentral lists this ribosomal RNA (253 nucleotides) under uncultured bacterium. Its description in RNAcentral is "partial 16S ribosomal RNA". It matches the Rfam family "Bacterial small subunit ribosomal RNA", at positions 524 to 776 of the family's 1533-position model. The record is from RNAcentral.